RNAcentral lists this ribosomal RNA (460 nucleotides) under uncultured bacterium. RNAcentral describes it as "partial 16S ribosomal RNA". It matches the Rfam family "Bacterial small subunit ribosomal RNA", at positions 338 to 795 of the family's 1533-position model. The record is from RNAcentral.
CCUACGGGAGGCAGCAGUGAGGAAUAUUGGUCAAUGGACGAGAGUCUGAACCAGCCAAGUAGCGUGAAGGAUGACUGCCCUAUGGGUUGUAAACUUCUUUUAUAUGGGAAUAAAACGUUCCACGUGUGGGAUUUUGUAUGUACCAUAUGAAUAAGGAUCGGCUAACUCCGUGCCAGCAGCCGAGGUAAUACGGAGGAUCCGAGCGUUAUCCGGAUUUAUUGGGUUUAAAGGGAGCGUAGGUGGAUUGUUAAGUCAGUUGUGAAAGUUUGCGGCUCAACCGUAAAAUUGCAGUUGAAACUGGCAGUCUUGAGUACAGUAGAGGUGGGCGGAAUUCGUGGUGUAGCGGUGAAAUGCUUAGAUAUCACGAAGAACUCCGAUUGCGAAGGCAGUUCACUGGACUGCAACUGACACUGAGGCUCGAAAGCGUGGGUAUCAAACAGGAUUAGAUACCCUUGUAGUC